UCAAUGGAGUCCUCAGAUGAAUGGUGAU
Molecule: small RNA, 28 nt
Filed under: Bombyx mori (domestic silkworm)
Lineage: Eukaryota; Metazoa; Arthropoda; Insecta; Lepidoptera; Bombycidae
Description: ovarian small RNA-24883
Source: RNAcentral